ACAGUGGCUCAGUUGGUAGAGCAUUGGCUUCCCAAGCCGAGGGUCGCGGGUUCGAGCCCCGUCUGU
RNAcentral lists this transfer RNA (66 nucleotides) under human gut metagenome. It matches the Rfam family "tRNA". Rfam says of the family: Transfer RNA (tRNA) molecules are approximately 80 nucleotides in length. RNAcentral also lists the same sequence under 1 other name. The record is from RNAcentral.